RNAcentral lists this ribosomal RNA (251 nucleotides) under uncultured Streptococcaceae bacterium. Its description in RNAcentral is "partial 16S ribosomal RNA". It matches the Rfam family "Bacterial small subunit ribosomal RNA", at positions 524 to 774 of the family's 1533-position model. Lineage: Bacteria; Bacillati; Bacillota; Bacilli; Lactobacillales; Streptococcaceae. The record is from RNAcentral.
UACGUAGGUCCCGAGCGUUAUCCGGAUUUAUUGGGCGUAAAGCGAGCGCAGGCGGUUAGAUAAGUCUGAAGUUAAAGGCUGUGGCUUAACCAUAGUACGCUUUGGAAACUGUUUAACUUGAGUGCAGAAGGGGAGAGUGGAAUUCCAUGUGUAGCGGUGAAACGCGUAGAUAUAUGGAGGAACACCGGUGGCGAAAGCGGCUCUCUGNGUCUGUAACUGACGCUGAGGCUCGAAAGCGUGGGGAGCAAACC